AAUUUAAAGUAAGCUAAAUUUAAGCUAGUGGGUUCAUACCCCAAAAAUGAAAUAUUCCUUUAUUA
Molecule: transfer RNA, 65 nt
Filed under: Ogadenus brumpti
Lineage: Eukaryota; Metazoa; Arthropoda; Arachnida; Ixodida; Argasidae
Description: Argas brumpti tRNA-Met
Source: RNAcentral